RNAcentral lists this ribosomal RNA (169 nucleotides) under Wolbachia endosymbiont of Asobara tabida. RNAcentral describes it as "partial 16S ribosomal RNA". It matches the Rfam family "Bacterial small subunit ribosomal RNA", at positions 338 to 524 of the family's 1533-position model. RNAcentral also lists the same sequence under 2 other names. Lineage: Bacteria; Pseudomonadati; Pseudomonadota; Alphaproteobacteria; Rickettsiales; Anaplasmataceae. The record is from RNAcentral.
CCUACGGGAGGCAGCAGUGGGGAAUAUUGGACAAUGGGCGAAAGCCUGAUCCAGCCAUGCCGCAUGAGUGAAGAAGGCCUUUGGGUUGUAAAGCUCUUUUAGUGAGGAAGAUAAUGACGGUACUCACAGAAGAAGUCCUGGCUAACUCCGUGCCAGCAGCCGCGGUAAU